AUUUACACACCUGUAAUGGAACGCUUUUGAAUGAUGCUCUUUUUAUAACUCUAAAGCAACACGUUAUAAGGGUACUCAAAAAAUUUACACCAAAAAUUUUCGCUAAAAUUUUCAUUUUAUCCAAUAAAAAUUGCCCGCUAAAUUUUAACAACUUUCCCACUAAAAAUUAAAACCUCAAGAAAAGACUCAUCACUCGCUCUCACUAAUGCCACUACCCCCUUUUCUCUCAGACACGAGAGUGGAAUGUAUUCCGACGAUGACUCCGAUGUGGACUACCAUGACGACAUGUUGUCAUCGACGUUGGCUAUUGUUGCGGCUAUGGCAUGCUUCAACGUAUUCGAUGGAGCUCAUGUUAGAUUUGCAGUGGCUUUACCUUGAGCAAUUCGACCUCUUUCACCGUAAGAAACAUUACCGUCUUCGAUUUUGAUUAUGAUACUUCGUAUCUCCUUACUCCUUUCCUGAUUUGGAUCCAUAAUCUCAAAAAAAUCCAAUCCCUAAAUCUUUGCUUGUUUUUGUUUCCAAUCUUCAUUUUGUUCUCAGAUCUAUAUUUCAAUAAUUGUUUUAUGUAUUCAUUUAGUGUUCAUUCGUAGAUCUCUCGGGUGUUGAAGUAGUCUCUAUAUAUUUCGAUAUUUAGAUCUGGAAUUUUGGAGUUUUGAGUUGUAGAGGUAGCUUAAAAUCAUUGCUUAAUUCAAUUUGAAGGAUGGUUUCGGGAAUUGGUGUGAAAUUUGAAGGUUUUUCAAAUUAAGACUUUUUACAAUUUGUUCCCGACGAUUAGGCACAUGUAAUUCUUGCGAAGCCUCCAAUUCAUAAUUGUUUCGUGGAGUUUAGACAAUUUUUAUACAAUUUGAUAGGAUUGCUGUUGUGAGUGUGGACUUGGUGGUAGGCUUGAUUUUUGUGGGUUAUUUGGGGAGGAGGAUAAGGCAAGGUGAGAUUUGUUUCUUUCUUGCAUAAACCUCUUAACUUAUCUUGCAACCCCUGAAACUUGUAAAACAUAGCAAUUGUGGUUGCGUCUUGCAUUGUUGUACUUGCACGCUUCUCUUUACUUCAGACAUAGGCCAAAAAAACACUUACAAUAACUUAAUUCUAGACAAUUCAUUCUUUUAAAAACUCAAAGGACUGUCAAAGAACUAUAAAUGCAUAGCGUAUAGGUAUUCAUGCUGAACAUAAAAUAUUUUCUUGUAUUUAAUUAUGCAUUUUGUGUUUUGCCAUAGUUUCUCACCUUGAAUAUUAAUGUUUGCAAUGCAAUUAGAAGGUGCAUCUAUCUUCACAUGAUGAUGUUUAUGCCAAGAUAUCAGGCUACUGAAGAUGACAUUACUGAUGUUUUAGUUUGAUAAUAACAUAUUCUAUUAAUCUUUCCAACUCAUUCACAAGGAAAGAGUAAAAAGGGAGAUCUGUGUAUUUUGUAAAAUUAUUUGUAAUGUUAUCUCAUUGUGUCUAAGACCAGUUAUUGAACUUUAUCUAAUUGUGCUCAGAAAAAUGAAGCAUGUGUCCGGGAAGUGGCUAGAAUCCAAAUACAUGUGUUAAAAGUACAGGUACUUUAUACCUCUUCUUUCUUUUAUUUUUUCAUAAGUUUUUUUUUUUCAAUUGUGUUUGCUUUCGUUCUAUUUCAUUUUAAAACAUUUAUGCAUCUGAUGUGUUCGUGUGGUUCAUUUUUUCUAUGACUUCAGGAAACACGACAUAGGCAACAUUAUUUGGAUUUGAUGCUCAAAUUACAUGUAAUAUUUAAGAGCGUACAAAGAUCUUAACUUAUAUCAGAAGCGUUCUUAUUAAUCUUGACUUCAUAGGGAUUGAAAUUUUAUGGAGCUGUUUUAUUUUUCCUUUUACAUAUUUGAUAUUAUUAGAGCUCUAUUAGUAGCUUGUCUUGAAUAAAACUAAUUGAAAUAUACAAAUCCUACUUGUAAGUGUUAGAGAGCAGAUUAAGAAUUUGUAGCCAUUUAUUUUCUCUCGGUAUUUUUAUUAUUUAAGAUGUUGCACUAAAUAUUUAAUGUGAAGAAGCGUCAUUUUAUUUUACAUGUGAUAGAUAGUGAGCAUUCAAUUGUAGAUAAACUUUCAACCUAGAGUUUUCAUCACUAUAAGAGUACUCCCAGCUGGCAAAAGAGAACUCAAACAUAUCAAAUUCAGGUGAGCUUCAUUUCACCAGUUAUAUCAAAUUAGAGAGCUAAAAUAGGUAUAUUUUCUUGCAUUUGUGCUAUUGGGGGGAUAGGCCUACUAGCGAAGUCUAGCUGUGCAGGUGGAGCUCUAAGAAUACUGUCAAAAUAAUUGCCUCAAUGUUAUCAUUGGAAUUGCACCACCAUCCAUUUUGAUAUUAAGUGCUAGCAUUCCAGUAAAGCUUUCAUCAUUUUNAUNNNNNNNNNNNNNNAUCAUUUUAAUCUGUUUAUAUGUAUUUCAAAAAUUAUGUUUAGUUACUUGCCCAUUUUUAUAAUGCUCUGAUAGUAAGAAGAAAAACAUCAAGAGAGAACAUGUCUUAUAUGCCAUGUGAACUUGAAUUUUUCAUGUACCUUCUCAAAAAAGUUCAAGUUCAAUAGAAAUUUUUUGAAGCUUUAACGUGAAUGUUUGUUUGUUCUCUAAAAUCAAUUGUUCUAAAUUUCAGUUUCCACUUCAAAUACCUCAAUCCAUUAUGAUAUUGCAUACUAUCUAUUGGUUUCUUUCUAAUUUUAAAUUUUAUUUUUAAUGUGUAGGAAAAUACGGGUGAUGCAAUUGAAAAUGGCGGCCAAAAGUUAAUUGAUCUAUUGAAGUGAAUGAUAAAGACUUUUUGAGCAAUUGUAAUAUUUAUUAUUAUGAUACUUUAUGAAUACAUUCGGUUUUAGAGUUUGUUGUUAUUGCACAUACUGAAAUAUUGUUUUAUCAGUAUGUGUAGAAUACAAAAUAUGUUUCUUUUUUGAAGUUUAUUGCAAGUAUAUGCAUUAAAAUUAUUAUUAUUUAUUAUUUAAUUGAGUGCUUGAGAUCAUUAAAA
Molecule: long non-coding RNA, 2953 nt
Filed under: Nicotiana tabacum (common tobacco)
Lineage: Eukaryota; Viridiplantae; Streptophyta; Magnoliopsida; Solanales; Solanaceae
Description: long non-coding RNA (NTAB_LNC010427)
Source: RNAcentral